GCCGGGCGUGGUGAUGCACACCUGUAAUCCUAGCGGCUUGGAAGGCAGAGACAGGAGGAUCAAAACCAGCCUCAGCAACAGUAAGGCACUAAGCAACUCAGUGAGAUCCUCUCUCUA
RNAcentral lists this small RNA (117 nucleotides) under Marmota monax (woodchuck). The record is from RNAcentral. Lineage: Eukaryota; Metazoa; Chordata; Mammalia; Rodentia; Sciuridae.